AUUGAACGCUGGCGGAAUGCUUUACACAUGCAAGUCGAGCGGCAGCGCGGGGCAACCUGGCGGCGAGCGGCGAACGGGUGAGUAACACGUGAGUAGCUGUCCUAAGGAGGGGGAUAACGCCUGGAAACGGGUGCUAACACCCCACAUGCCUCGCAAGAGGUGAAAGUGUACUUGCUACAGCCUUAGGGUGUGCUCGCGGCCUAUCAGCUAGUUGGUGAGGUAACGGCUCACCAAGGCCAAGACGGGUAGCCGGCCUGAGAGGGUGUACGGCCACACUGGAAUUGAGAUACGGUCCAGACUCCUACGGGAGGCAGCAGUGGGGAAUCUUGGGCAAUGGGCGAAAGCCUGACCCAGCGACGCCGCGUUGGGGAUGAAGCCCUUCGGGGCGUAAACCCAUGUUGUAGGGGACGAAGAAAGUGACGGUACCCUACGAGAAAGCCCCGGCCAACUACGUG
This 455-nucleotide ribosomal RNA is filed under the name uncultured bacterium. RNAcentral's name for it is "bacterial SSU rRNA". It matches the Rfam family "Bacterial small subunit ribosomal RNA", at positions 29 to 507 of the family's 1533-position model. The record is from RNAcentral.